Molecule: ribosomal RNA, 502 nt
Filed under: uncultured bacterium
Lineage: Bacteria
Description: bacterial SSU rRNA
Rfam family: Bacterial small subunit ribosomal RNA
Source: RNAcentral
GAUGAACGCUGGCGGCGUGCUUAACACAUGCAAGUCGAACGGGGAUACCUGAGUAGCAAUACGAAGGUAUUCUAGUGGCGGACGGGUGAGUAACGCGUGAGGAACCUGCCUUGGAGAGGGGAAUAACACACUGAAAAGUGUGCUAAUACCGCAUGAUAUAUCGAAGUCGCAUGGCUUUGAUAUCAAAGAUUUAUCGCUCUAAGAUGGGCCUCGCGUCUGAUUAGCUAGUUGGUGGGGUAACGGCCCACCAAGGCGACGAUCAGUAGCCGGACUGAGAGGUUGACCGGCCACAUUGGGACUGAGAUACGGCCCAGACUCCUACGGGAGGCAGCAGUGGGGAAUAUUGGGCAAUGGGCGAAAGCCUGACCCAGCAACGCCGCGUGAAGGAAGACGGCCCUACGGGUUGUAAACUUCUUUUAUACGGGAAUAAAGUGCCCCACGCGUGGGUUUUGCAUGUACCGUAUGAAUAAGGAUCGGCUAACUCCGUGCCAGCAGCCGCGGU